GUUAACGUAGCAAAGCCCGGUUUUGCAAAAGACCUAAACCCUUCUAACAGAGGUUCAAAUCCUCUCGUUAACU
Molecule: transfer RNA, 73 nt
Filed under: Phyllomedusa boliviana (red-rimmed leaf frog)
Lineage: Eukaryota; Metazoa; Chordata; Amphibia; Anura; Hylidae
Description: tRNA-Leu
Rfam family: tRNA
About the family: Transfer RNA (tRNA) molecules are approximately 80 nucleotides in length. Their secondary structure includes four short double-helical elements and three loops (D, anti-codon, and T loops). Further hydrogen bonds mediate the characteristic L-shaped molecular structure. tRNAs have two regions of fundamental functional importance: the anti-codon, which is responsible for specific mRNA codon recognition, and the 3' end, to which the tRNAs corresponding amino acid is attached (by aminoacyl-tRNA synthetases). tRNAs cope with the degeneracy of the genetic code in two manners: having more than one tRNA (with a specific anti-codon) for a particular amino acid; and 'wobble' base-pairing, i.e. permitting non-standard base-pairing at the 3rd anti-codon position.
Source: RNAcentral